RNAcentral lists this ribosomal RNA (247 nucleotides) under uncultured bacterium. Its description in RNAcentral is "partial 16S ribosomal RNA". It matches the Rfam family "Bacterial small subunit ribosomal RNA", at positions 524 to 766 of the family's 1533-position model. The record is from RNAcentral.
GACGAAGGAUCCAAGCGUUAUCCGGAUUUAUUGGGUUUAAAGGGUGCGUAGGCGGAUUGAUAAGUCAGUGGUGAAAGCCUGCAGCUUAACUGCAGAACUGCCAUUGAUACUGUCAAUCUUGAAUAUGGUUGAUGUGGGCGGAAUAUGACAUGUAGCGGUGAAAUGCUUAGAUAUGUCAUAGAACACCGAUUGCGAAAGGCAGCUCACAAAAGCCAUUUAUUGACGCUGAGGCACGAAAAGCGUGGGG